UACGAAGGGGGCUAGCGUUGCUCGGAAUCACUGGGCGUAAAGCGCACGUAGGCGGAUCUUUAAGUCAGGGGUGAAAUCCUGGAGCUCAACUCCAGAACUGCCUUUGAUACUGGGGAUCUCGAGUCUGGGAGAGGUGAGUGGAACUGCGAGUGUAGAGGUGAAAUUCGUAGAUAUUCGGAGGAACACCAGUGGCGAAGGCGGCUCACUGGUCCAUUACUGACGCUGAGGUGCGAAAGCGUGGGGAGCAAACAGG
Molecule: ribosomal RNA, 253 nt
Filed under: uncultured bacterium
Lineage: Bacteria
Description: partial 16S ribosomal RNA
Rfam family: Bacterial small subunit ribosomal RNA
Source: RNAcentral